Molecule: ribosomal RNA, 447 nt
Filed under: uncultured bacterium
Lineage: Bacteria
Description: bacterial SSU rRNA
Rfam family: Bacterial small subunit ribosomal RNA
Source: RNAcentral
AUGCCAGACUCCUACGGGAGGCAGCAGUGGGGAAUAUUGCACAAUGGGGGAAACCCUGAUGCAGCGACGCCGCGUGAGUGAAGAAGUAUUUCGGUAUGUAAAGCUCUAUCAGCAGGGAAGAAAAUGACGGUACCUGACUAAGAAGCCCCGACUAACUACGUGCCAGCAGCCGCGGUAAUACGUAGGUGGCAAGCGUUAUCCCGAUUUACUGGGUGUAAAGGGCGUGUAGGCGGGGACGCAAGUCAGAUGUGAAAACCAUGGGCUCAACCUGUGGCCUGCAUUUGAAACUGUGUUUCUUGAGUACUGGAGAGGCAGACGGAAUUCCUAGUGUAGCGGUGAAAUGCGUAGAUAUUAGGAGGAACACCAGUGGCGAAGGCGGCCUGCUGGGCGACAACUGACGGUGAGGCGCGAAAGCGUGGGGAGCAAACAGGAUUAGAUACCCGUGUA